AAAGUCGUAACAAGGUUUCCGUAGGUGAACCUGCGGAAGGAUCAUUACUGCUUGCUUAUGGCCGCCCUGGUGGGGAAACCCCUGGGACGGUACGGCAACACACCCUUGACUAUAUAUACCUAUCGUUAUUUCCCUCGGUGGGGCAACCUGCCGCUGGGGACACAAUAAACCCUUUUGUAUAAGCAUUAAAAUUUCUGAAACAAAACUAAAAUUUUACAACUUUCAACAAUGGAUCUCUUGGUUCUG
RNAcentral lists this unclassified non-coding RNA (246 nucleotides) under Ascomycota sp. RNAcentral describes it as "partial contains small subunit ribosomal RNA, internal transcribed spacer 1, and 5.8S ribosomal RNA". The stretch from base 1 to 47 matches the Rfam family "Eukaryotic small subunit ribosomal RNA", at positions 1785 to 1831 of the family's 1831-position model. The record is from RNAcentral. Lineage: Eukaryota; Fungi; Ascomycota.